Long non-coding RNA from Empidonax traillii (willow flycatcher), 828 nucleotides. RefSeq lists it as uncharacterized. The transcript has 4 exons. The record is from RefSeq and is a predicted model, not a curated record. Lineage: Eukaryota; Metazoa; Chordata; Aves; Passeriformes; Tyrannidae.
GCUCGGGGCCCAGGGCGGGCAGCGGGGAGUCCCGGCGUGUGGGUUCGAAGCGCCCUUAGCAUUGAGCGGGCUGAAGGCAGGGCUCACCCCCCUGCUCUCUGCAAUGGGUUCAGCCGCCGUGCCCCGCUGGGCCGCGUGGGCUGGGCCGCGCCAUUGUGGGAGGGGAGCGUGGGGCCUGACGACCCUGUCCCCUCAGGCGGCCAUGGAGGCGGCACCGGGGCCGGGACACGCCGAGGCUGCGGAGGCGCCUUGUCGCAGAAAGAUGUCUUGAAGUAAAGAAGCCUGCUCUUCCCAGGUGGAUGUGACACAGCAGGAUGGGAGCAGGUUGCUUUUCUGGGAUGGCCUGAAUCCGAAGGUAAGAGAUGAAUUUCACUGGAACACACAGAGCUUUAUGCCAGGUGAAAUGUAACUUGAGGAUGAAUGAGGUUCAUAGGCUGUAAGGAACUUGGAAGGUGUGUUUUGUUACUCAAUCUGCCUUCCCUCUUCUGUUCCUUACAGUUUAAAGCCUGAUACUUCUUGAUAACUGUAUUUAGUAUAACUUGCAGGUCUGUGCUGCCACGUGCUGGUGGUUACUGAUGUCCAUCCAUUGAUAUUACAGCUCUUCCCAGGCCCUGUGGAAGGCAGCGAGACAGCAGAGCAGGAGAGUCUCCUGGGUGGUGAUGCUGCCAACAGCUGCUCUGGGGAGGAAGGAAUCCAACAAACCUUGUGAGCUUUGGGACUGGUGUUCGUGGACACAACAUGGUUUUCUGUCUGAAGGUGCUAAGAAAUCACAAUGGUUACACUGUGCUGAUGACACAAACAUUAAAGUGAUCUCUUUCAAAAAAAAAA